RNAcentral lists this ribosomal RNA (253 nucleotides) under uncultured bacterium. RNAcentral's name for it is "partial 16S ribosomal RNA". It matches the Rfam family "Bacterial small subunit ribosomal RNA", at positions 524 to 776 of the family's 1533-position model. The record is from RNAcentral.
UACGAGUGGCCCAAGCGUUAAUCGGAAUCACUGGGCUUAAAGGGUGCGCAGGCGGACUAGUAGGCAUUUUGUGAAAGCCCACGGCUCAACCGUGGAAUUGCAGGGUGAACCACUAGUCUCGAGGCAGGUAGGGGUCAGCGGAACUAUGGGUGGAGCGGUGAAAUGCGUAGAUAUCCAUGGGAACGCCGAUGGCGAAGGCAGCUGACUGGGCCUGUCCUGACGCUCAGGCACGAAAGCGUGGGUAGCAAACGGG